RNAcentral lists this long non-coding RNA (1254 nucleotides) under Arachis ipaensis. RNAcentral describes it as "long non-coding RNA (AIPA_LNC002460)". Lineage: Eukaryota; Viridiplantae; Streptophyta; Magnoliopsida; Fabales; Fabaceae. The record is from RNAcentral.
CAUUCUCUUUCCAAAACUUCCAAAACCAUGGAAAGUUAAAGAUUCAUUUUGGGAACAUUCAAAAUCACCCAUCCCACAAUGGAAUUUUAUAACAAAGUUUCUCGACAGAGUCCCAAGUCUUUAGGGGAGAGUAGCAUAACUCAUUUCGCCGAAUUCAUUUAAAAUCAUUAAAACCUUGGCAUUCCGAUUUGAGUAAUAAAAUAGGAUCUAAGCCAAACCGAGUCACGUAAUCAUUUACUUCUUUCAAAGCCGUUUCCUUUACUUAGGCAAAACCAGCUUCAACCCCCAUGAUAAAUUCUAAAGCAUUUCAACUGUUCAAAAUUGUUUUAGUCUUGCAAAAGUUCAGAGUUCAAAGAGUACUUAAAACCUUUCUCAAAACAUUUAAAAAUAAAAGUUGUCAAUAGACAUUCAGGUUCUUUCAAAGUCAUUGAAACUUCUUUAAUUGAAACCCCCAAGUCAAAUUCAAAGGCAUAAACCCUUUUCGCAUUCAAACAGCUUUAAAACACAAGUUUCAUCUAAAUAACUUUCUCUUGAAAGAGAUACAAUGCCUUUCUUAAGAAUCAAGACUAAAUCACAAUUUCCCCUUUACUAACUCAUUUCGAAAGCAUGAAUCAUCCUUUUCUUGAUAAUUCAAAUAAAAUAGCAGAAGUCUUUAACUCAUCAUUUUCCAGAUAACAUUUCAAUAAAGACUCGAAUUUUAUAGAAAUUUCGGCAGCACCUCCCCUAAAACUUGGACUUUUGCCACCCGGUUCGGGUCCCAACUAAACCGUUUCUCAUUCCUUUUCAACAGCUCAAAACCAGAAAUCAAUUCAAAAGCAAGCUAAAUCCAAGAGUCGCCUCAAUGGCAUACCUCAAGAAAACCAUUUCAAAAAUCAACUCAAUAUCAACCGAUUUAACUCAUUUCCAAAGCUUUAAAGAAUCAGUUCAGCAAUAAAUCAUUUAUCAAAACCAAAUCAAUUAAAGCAACCCAGGCUGAAUUUCAAGAGUAUUCUAUCUUUCACAUCGUCAAAAUAAUUGACUCAAUUCAAACCAAUCCUCAACAGAUUAAACUCAUAUUUCAAAUCUUUAAAGAAUCAACUUUAAAACAUUACAUUUCACAAAGCCGUACAACAAUUCAGCCAAGCAAACAUUCAUAAGCUUUCGAAACAAUCAAAUAAUACAUAAGGCCGAUACAAUCACCAAAUACACAUUUUCUCACAUCAGUAUCCAUAUGUAAUAAUUCCAAUACAUAAAGUAUAGUUUUAGAAAGCGCCC